Molecule: ribosomal RNA, 563 nt
Filed under: uncultured Dongia sp.
Lineage: Bacteria; Pseudomonadati; Pseudomonadota; Alphaproteobacteria; Rhodospirillales; Dongiaceae
Description: bacterial SSU rRNA
Rfam family: Bacterial small subunit ribosomal RNA
Source: RNAcentral
ACUCCUACGGGAGGCAGCAGUGGGGAGUAUUGGACAAUGGGGGCAACCCUGAUCCAGCAAUGCCGCGUGAGUGAUGAAGGCCUUAGGGUUGUAAAGCUCUUUCGACGGGGACGAUGAUGACGGUACCCGCAGAAUAAGCCCCGGCUAACUUCGUGCCAGCAGCCGCGGUAAUACGAAGGGGGCGAGCGUUGUUCGGAAUUACUGGGCGUAAAGGGCGCGUAGGCGGCGACCCAAGUCAGAUGUGAAAGUCCUGGGCUUAACCUGGGGACUGCAUUUGAUACUGGGUUGCUUGAAUUCGGGAGAGGAUAGCGGAAUUCCCAGUGUAGAGGUGAAAUUCGUAGAUAUUGGGAAGAACACCGGUGGCGAAGGCGGCUAUCUGGACCGACAUUGACGCUGAGGCGCGAAAGCGUGGGGAGCAAACAGGAUUAGAUACCCUGGUAGUCCACGCCCUAAACGAUGAAUGCUAGACGCUGGUAGGUUUACCUAUCGGUGUCGCAGCUAACGCAUUAAGCAUUCCGCCUGGGGAGUACGGUCGCAAGAUUAAAACUUAAAGGAAUUGACGG